This 482-nucleotide ribosomal RNA is filed under the name uncultured bacterium. RNAcentral's name for it is "partial 16S ribosomal RNA". It matches the Rfam family "Bacterial small subunit ribosomal RNA", at positions 32 to 507 of the family's 1533-position model. The record is from RNAcentral.
UUAACGCUAGCGGCAGGCAUAAUACAUGCAAAUUGAACGGCAGCACAGGUAGCAAUACUGGGUGGCGAGUGGCGCACGGGUGCGUAACACGUAUGCAACCUACCCUAUACAGGCGAAUAACCUUUAGAAAUGAGGGCUAAUACGCCGUAGUAUUACAGAUGGGCAUCUAUUUGUAAUUAAAGAUUUAUCGGUAUAGGAUGGGCAUGCGUCCCAUUAGUUAGUUGGUAAGGUAACGGCUUACCAAGACGAUGAUGGGUAGGGGAUCUGAGAGGACUUACCCCCACACUGGUACUGAGACACGGACCAGACUCCUACGGGAGGCAGCAGUAAGGAAUAUUGGGCAAUGGCCGCGAGGCUGACCCAGCCAUGCCGCGUGCAGGAAGACGGCCUUAUGGGUUGUAAACUGCUUUUAUACGGGAAUAAUAGAGUGUACGCGUACAUUUAUGCAAGUAUCGUAUGAAUAAGCAUCGGCUAACUCCGUG